Molecule: ribosomal RNA, 383 nt
Filed under: uncultured eukaryote
Lineage: Eukaryota
Description: SSU rRNA
Rfam family: Eukaryotic small subunit ribosomal RNA
Source: RNAcentral
UACUCCUAGGGUGUUUGUUCACAGUGCUGCAGUUAAAAAGUUCAUAGUCGGACCUAUGAAUGGGACGACAUUAUAGACGCAAGUCUGUGAUAUUGUCCUGUUCUUUCGGGGAAGUUCUUUGGGUGUGAUGUUUUAACUAACUUUGCCCCAAGCGUCGCCCGUUUACUGUGAAAAAAUGAGAGUGUUUAAAGCGGGUGAAACGCCGUGAAUACCAUAGCAUGGAAUAAUAGAAUACAGCCGUGGCACCUAUUUUGUUGGUUUCGAGGAGCCGGGUAAUGAUUAAGAGGGACGGUUGGGGGCAUUCAUAUUGUGCCGUCAGAGGUGAAAUUCUUAGAUUGGCAUAAGAUGAACAGCUGCAAAAGCGUCUGUCAAGAACUUUUUCA